This 26-nucleotide non-coding RNA is filed under the name Mus musculus (house mouse). The record is from RNAcentral. Lineage: Eukaryota; Metazoa; Chordata; Mammalia; Rodentia; Muridae.
UCCAGCUAAUCAGGGCAGCAGGAGCA